UAAUGUAUGGGGAUCUGCCCGAUAGAGGGGGAUAACUACUGGAAACGGUGGCUAAUACCGCAUAAUGUCUACGGACCAAAGCAGGGGCUCUCCGGACCUUGCACUAUCGGAUGAACCCAUAUGGGAUUAGCUAGUAGGUGGGGUAAAGGCUCACCUAGGCGACGAUCUCUAGCUGGUCUGAGAGGAUGAUCAGCCACACUGGGACUGAGACACGGCCCAG
This 220-nucleotide ribosomal RNA is filed under the name uncultured bacterium. RNAcentral's name for it is "partial 16S ribosomal RNA". It matches the Rfam family "Bacterial small subunit ribosomal RNA", at positions 111 to 334 of the family's 1533-position model. The record is from RNAcentral.